GAUCUUCCCUGUUGACGCUGCAACAUUCUUUACAUUUUCUUUGGAAAGCUCCUCUUCAUCUCCUCUCCCACCCGCCGGUAAAGCAACGGCGUUGUCAUACCCGGUGGAACCACCUCUUCCCUUUGGGUCGAGAAACGAAGACCCUCUGUACGACGGGACUAGAAAUUCCCCACCGAAGCUUUCCGGUUUACCGGAGGCGACAAGUUGUUUGAUCGUGAACAGGAAUGGCACACGCUCACCUCCAGGAAGCUGAACAGUGACGGCAGCAUAGUCGAUUCCGUCUUUCUCUUCGAAUUUGAUGGUGCCAUCGGAGGAUACUUCGAGAGGUCCCUCGAUUUCAUCGAGGGUGUAGGUCAAUCGGGUCAUGAGUUUGGUUUUUUGGAACUCCGGUGUGGAGUUCUUGCUAACGCCCUCGGCUUUGACAGUGAACGACGUCGGCUCUAAGCAAAAUUUCUUGGCGUUGUAAUUGCCUGGUUUGACGGCGAAGCCGUCGACUCCGCC
RNAcentral lists this long non-coding RNA (501 nucleotides) under Lactuca sativa (garden lettuce). RNAcentral's name for it is "long non-coding RNA (LSAT_LNC001794)". Lineage: Eukaryota; Viridiplantae; Streptophyta; Magnoliopsida; Asterales; Asteraceae. The record is from RNAcentral.